RNAcentral lists this ribosomal RNA (557 nucleotides) under uncultured bacterium. RNAcentral's name for it is "bacterial SSU rRNA". It matches the Rfam family "Bacterial small subunit ribosomal RNA", at positions 102 to 694 of the family's 1533-position model. The record is from RNAcentral.
ACGGGUGAGUAACACGUGGGAACGUCCCCCUCGGUUCGGAAUAACUCAGGGAAACUUGAGCUAAUACCGGAUACGUCCGAGAGGAGAAAGAUUUAUCGCCGAGGGAUCGGCCCGCGUCUGAUUAGCUAGUUGGUGAGGUAAUGGCUCACCAAGGCGACGAUCAGUAGCUGGUCUGAGAGGAUGAUCAGCCACACUGGGACUGAGACACGGCCCAGACUCCUACGGGAGGCAGCAGUGGGGAAUAUUGGACAAUGGGCGCAAGCCUGAUCCAGCCAUGCCGCGUGAGUGAUGAAGGCCUUAGGGUUGUAAAGCUCUUUUGCCAGGGAAGAUAAUGACUGUACCUGGAGAAUAAGCCCCGGCUAACUUCGUGCCAGCAGCCGCGGUAAUACGAAGGGGGCUAGCGUUGUUCGGAAUCACUGGGCGUAAAGCGCACGUAGGCGGACUUUUAAGUCAGGGGUGAAAGCCUGAGGCUCAACCUCAGAACUGCCCUUGAUACUGGGAGUCUUGAGUAUGGUAGAGGUUGGUGGAACAGCAAGUGUAGAGGUGAAAUUCGUAGA